Molecule: ribosomal RNA, 399 nt
Filed under: Triticum aestivum (bread wheat)
Lineage: Eukaryota; Viridiplantae; Streptophyta; Magnoliopsida; Poales; Poaceae
Description: partial small subunit ribosomal RNA
Source: RNAcentral
AUGGCUACCUUCCCCUAUCGGGUGAGAAUUGAACCUCGGAUCUCGUUGCCCCUCUUUUUACUUCUUGUGUCAGUUUCACUGAUUUUCUGCCGUUGCUUUCUGAGACGGGAUGCGGUUGGUUCCACGGACAAGAAUCGAGCAAGUUGGGAUCCUUUUGGCCAGGAGCACAUGAUAUAUACGUUCUACACUGAGGAUAAUCGUCUGUCGGUCAAGAAGGUGAGUGGAUGGAAGGUGGAGCGGUACAGGCAAUCCGCGGUGAUGGACAUGUAUGCAAAUAAUCGGACUAGGAUUAGUUGUCCGUGUGCAAGAUGCAAGGAAGGAUUCCUUUUGGACCCUUUUGAUUGUGGCACUUUGAAGGCGCACCUGCUGAUGAAUAAUUUCAUGGAUGGCUAUACUUAG